UAACGAAUAUUGGGCAAUGGGCGAGAGCCUGACCCAGCGAUGCCGCGUGAGUGAUGAAGGCUUUCGGGUCGUAAAGCUCUGUCAGAGGGGAAGAAACACUCAGGGGUUAAUACUCCCUGGGCUUGACGGUACCCUCAAAGGAAGCACCGGCUAACUCCGUGCCAGCAGCCGCGGUAAUACGGAGGGUGCAAGCGUUAUUCGGAUUCACUGGGCGUAAAGGGUGCGCAGGCGGCCGUGUGUGUUAGGCGUGAAAGCCCGAGGCUUAACCUCGGAAUUGCACCUAAAACUACAUGGCUAGAGUACUGGAGAGGGUAGCGGAAUUCACGGUGUAGCAGUGAAAUGCGUAGAUAUCGUGAGGAACACCAAUGGCGAAGGCAGCUACCUGGACAGUUACUGACGCUCAGGCACGAAAGCGUGGGGAGCAAAAG
Molecule: ribosomal RNA, 428 nt
Filed under: uncultured prokaryote
Description: bacterial SSU rRNA
Rfam family: Bacterial small subunit ribosomal RNA
Source: RNAcentral